RNAcentral lists this transfer RNA (81 nucleotides) under Pseudomuriella schumacherensis. Its description in RNAcentral is "tRNA-Leu". It matches the Rfam family "tRNA". From Rfam's summary of the family: Transfer RNA (tRNA) molecules are approximately 80 nucleotides in length. Their secondary structure includes four short double-helical elements and three loops (D, anti-codon, and T loops). Further hydrogen bonds mediate the characteristic L-shaped molecular structure. tRNAs have two regions of fundamental functional importance: the anti-codon, which is responsible for specific mRNA codon recognition, and the 3' end, to which the tRNAs corresponding amino acid is attached (by aminoacyl-tRNA synthetases). tRNAs cope with the degeneracy of the genetic code in two manners: having more than one tRNA (with a specific anti-codon) for a particular amino acid; and 'wobble' base-pairing, i.e. permitting non-standard base-pairing at the 3rd anti-codon position. The record is from RNAcentral. Lineage: Eukaryota; Viridiplantae; Chlorophyta; Chlorophyceae; Sphaeropleales; Pseudomuriellaceae.
GCGAGUGUGGCGGAAUGGUAGACGCGAGGGCUUCAAAAGCCCUUAGCCUUAGGUUAUGCGGGUUCAAGUCCCGCCACUCGC